Molecule: ribosomal RNA, 406 nt
Filed under: uncultured bacterium
Lineage: Bacteria
Description: bacterial SSU rRNA
Rfam family: Bacterial small subunit ribosomal RNA
Source: RNAcentral
UACCCUUGACAUGUCCAGUAUGGGUUUCAGAGAUGAGAUCCUUCAGUUCGGCUGGCUGGAACACAGGUGCUGCAUGGCUGUCGUCAGCUCGUGUCGUGAGAUGUUGGGUUAAGUCCCGCAACGAGCGCAACCCUCGCCUUUAGUUGCCAUCAUUUAGUUGGGCACUCUAGAGGGACUGCCGGUGAUAAGCCGGAGGAAGGUGGGGAUGACGUCAAGUCCUCAUGGCCCUUACGGGUAGGGCUACACACGUGCUACAAUGGUGGUGACAGUGGGCAGCGACACAGUGAUGUGAUGCUAAUCUCAAAAAGCCAUCUCAGUUCAGAUUGUACUCUGCAACUCGAGUACAUGAAGUUGGAAUCGCUAGUAAUCGUAGAACAGCAUGCUACGGUGAAUACGUUCCCGGGCC